This 100-nucleotide microRNA precursor is filed under the name Eugenia uniflora (Surinam cherry). Its description in RNAcentral is "miR535b stem-loop (eun-MIR535b)". Its record names the gene eun-MIR535b. It matches the Rfam family "MIR535 microRNA precursor family". The record is from miRBase by way of RNAcentral. Lineage: Eukaryota; Viridiplantae; Streptophyta; Magnoliopsida; Myrtales; Myrtaceae.
CAUCUUGCUUGACAACGAGAGAGAGCACGCUUGUCAAUGUUCAUGCCAGUGUCAUGACUGUGUACAUGCGUGCUCUCUACCGUUGUCAUGUGAUGGAUGC